UCUAUUUAAAAUCUUUUCAGAUAUAUCAUUUCAUUAUACCCGCAUGCUUACAUUAUUUUCUGUCAUUUUGUUUUCUUAUUUUCGAAUCAAUUAUAAAAAAAAAUACAACAUAUGAAUUAAAACUAUACAUUGAAUGCCUCACCAUUGAGACAAUAGAUAAACAAUACUCCAAUAUACCUAUUAGUUAUCAUACCACCCAGGCGGUUCAACCUGGCUCACAAACUGUAAAAUUUUGUUGAACUUCUUUCUUUAGGAAAAACUUUUAACAGGAAAGAUAAAGAUGUCCUAAUAAUAUAAGUUAUCUAUAUGAAAGUCAAAUACAGAGAUUAGUCGAGAACAUUAAAUUACCAUUUAGUACCUAUUUAAUCAUGACCUGUAACAGCUGUAUUGCAUUUUAACGUUACAUUCAUUUAUUAUUGUAAAGGUUUAGCAUUACAUUACUAACUUUCUUGCUUCCGAAUAUUAUUGUGGAUAGUAAGUACCUACCUGUAUUUUAAACAAGUCAGGAUAUAAACAAUGUCCAAAAGGAUCAAAUAGCACAGUCUAUUCUGUGUAAUUCAUAGAUAUUCACAUCGCAACAGGCAGGUCAAAUCAGAAGUAUUAAUUAAUACUAUUAGUAAUAUCUGCAAAAUCCAAGACGUAUAAUGUAUUUUUUCUUGCUUGGCGCGGAUCUUGAGCGGCCUUGGAGUGUCUUUUUAUUUGAAUUAAUUUCAAAACAAAUUUAUGAAAUGAAACAUAAAUACACAUGAAAUGCAUAGAAUGAUUGAUUUCGUAAUUAAACCAUUUAUUCAAUUCUUUAUUUGUGAACAUAGGUAAUGUAUGAAUAUGAGUACAAAUCAUGCACACAUGCUAUUUCCAUAAUUUAAACAUUAGGUACAAUAAAUAAUGACUUAACGAAUUGUGUUAAUACAAGUACAAUAAUGCCUCAAUUAAUAAAUAUCAAUGUUGAAUAACAUUAUUAAUUUUAUAAUGUCAUAGUGUAUCAUCAGUCAAAUAUUUAUGUAUAAUAAUGAGCAUUUUCCUACUAGUAACUCAUAUAAUUCCUUUUGAAACAAAUCAUAACUUAAACUGUGGACCUCCACAGUACCUAAUUGGGAAUUUCAUUAAAACAAAUUUUGGUCUCAUACACAAUAUGUUAUUUCUUCAUCAAUGCUGUUUUUACGACGGAAAACUUACGUUAUUAAUAUAUUGUGAACUACCUUAUUAAUCUGUUAAGAGUCUGGGAGACUUUGACAAACAAACAUUUGUUUUACAAAAACCGCAACUUCAUAUAUGUAUAAAGAUGGAAAAGUAAGUAUUUUGGCUGUAGUUAAUUUGUUUAAUUGUAUUUUUAUUAAAAAGGAAACACAAAAAUUGUUUACCUUUUGUGCUGAGUGAGAGUGAAUGUACAUGCAAUCACCCAUUUUAUGACAUAUUAUUAUCCGUAUUAGUUUCAAUAUGGGUCUUUUCCAACACCUUUAAGAAGGCUGGACGUCUCAGACAACUUUUAAAUCUGAUAACAUUAUUUCCGUAGUUUAAAAACAUUAAGUAUAAAUACAUGUUAUUAUUCUGUUAGUAAAUACCACUAGGUCCCUAAGUUUUGAAUACUUUAUUCAUGAUCUGCUAAAUAAAUAUAAAUUACCAUAGGUAUAUUAUAACUUUAAUGUUUAUGAAGUGUUAUAUUUUGUAUUUUUAAGUACCUACUGCUUUGUUGAGUUUUAAGGAAAAGUCGUUAUAUCCUAUAGGAGACUAUGAUAAUGGAAAUUAUAUGUAUUUACUUAGAAUUAAAACUAAUGUAACACCAACAUAGUUGCAAUGAUAAUAAUUUAUAUUAUGAUUAUAAGCAAUUUUAGAAAACAAUAUUUGUAUUCCUAGACUUAGCAAAAGCCUUCAUCUUUAUUAGAUAAACUUAAACGGGAUUAUAUCCCAUGCAUUAUCAUGAUACUAUCUUACAAAUGUCUAACAACAAACAAAUUGCGGAACCUGGAAUAUUCUCUCUCUUCUUUAUUGGUUUUCCAUGACUUGUUAAUACUAAAUAUAAAUAAAACUAACUAUUGACCAGUUUCCAUACAUAACAAUGCUCAGCCUCACAUUGAUUUCAAUCUAAAAAUGCUUACAUUUUGUGAACUUUAAAACUCAAACUACAGUGUGAAAAUAUCAAUUAUGCUCUGUCCAUUAUAUUAUUGGUUUUUGGACAGUUGAAAUCCCAUACAUUUUUGACGACUAAAAGGAAAACCAACUUUACUUACCAGACAUAAGGAAGCGUCAUAAAAAAAAAAACAAAAACAUAGUGGAAGCUAUAUAAGUCUCUCGAGUUGAUAAUCACCUUGGUGUGAAUCACAUAACGUCAACAACACAGAUAUAAUUAAAAACUAUACCAUAGGUACUAUUUGUUUAUUUAUUAAUUAAUUUAUUUAAAUAAGGAACACGACUACUGACCACAUAUACAGUCUAACUAUAGUCAUGGAAGUAAAGAGUGCGAAUUUGUGGAGACUUUAUGUCAUUGCCUGUUGAAUACUUACAGUUACAGUUAAUUAUAUUAGGAAAUAAAAUAGCAAUUGACUAUAUCGUUUAACGGAUUGGUGCUUAGAUGAAGGUAAUAGAUCAAUUUAAUACGGUAUUUUACAAUUAGUUCGGAUCAAUUUCAGUUCUGGACUUUAUAAAUAGACUGUAAAGCUUUUGCACAGUCAGUCAUCACAUCAGUUACUUUAAAUAUCCCUGUAGGAACUGCCAAGAACCCAUCUCAUAUUAUUUGGGCAUAGAGCAGUAAUUAAAACAAAAUAUUUCAAAUCUAUUUUAUUUCCUACAUUUCAAAUAUAUAUUUUAUUUGUGACGCCGCUGGCUUGCUGACGUAGAGGUUCAGAAUUAAUUAUACAUGAUCUUACUUUGCUGGCUUUAUUUACAAAAGGAGAAGUCAAACAAAGUGACAUUAUCCUAUAUAUAAUCAAAUAUUCUAUAUUCAAAACUCGUAAUAAGCCUACGUCCUCAUAAUAUGGCGAGGUUGACAUAGUACCUACAUACAAAUUUCAUUCCAUUGGGCCUAUCAUAUAUAAAGAUAAAAAUUCAAUAAAACAAAAUUAAAAAAUAAACACCCUUUACAUAAAAACGUAGAAAUGAUUUGAUGAAACCUACUUUCAAAUACAAUUAACCUAACAGUCCUCCACUAUUCAUAACAAGGUGAAUGAAAUACUCUAGAUCAAUCUGAAGGCAAUGACGGAAACAAUAAAAAAAAAAAAAAACGAAGUACUUAUAAAGAAAUGUUUUUAAGAGUCUUUAUUGUACUUAUCUACAAAUAAAAAUAGUAGGUUAAAUUAAUGCACUGUACUUUCUUUGAAUAUGCUGACAUCGAUGAAAUUUAUAAUGAGAUAGGAUAUUUAAUCAAUAUUUUGCACAUAUUAAAAAAAAAUUAAGUAUACAGUAGCGAUAGCGGUCACCAAACUAAGCUUGGUCUGUAUCUUGAGGUACCAUUGGUAUCUAAGUAUUUUCUAGUUUUAAUUAUGCCAACACUGAAAAGGCUGUUAAUUAAAGGUAGCUAUAAGCACCUACUUGUAUUUACCUCUACAUAUUUUUAUUUUAUUUAAUCCUUUAUUGCACAAAUAUAAAAAUAAGUGUACAAAGGGUGGACUUAAUGCUACAAGCAUUUUCUACCAGUCAACCCACAGGAGGUGUUUUUACCUACUUAUAUGUGUUUACUUACUCACUGAAUGAUAAUACACACACUUUAAUAUUGUUAUAAUAAAAGGUGAAUGGUAUGCCGAAGUGCAAGCGGUGCUCACACAGGGUUGUGAAUGGUAUGCCGAAGCACAAGCGGUGCUCACCUAAUGAUAAUUAGUAUAUAGUGGCUGGUAUGCCGAAGUGCAAGCGGUGCUCACACUGGGUUGUGAAUGGUAUGCCGAAGCACAAGCGGUACCCACUAUACUAUUUAUCUGAUAAAGAAUUCUGAGGAACAAUGAACAUACAGUGUAGCCGACCAAAAAUUCACCUAGCAACGUUGCAGCGUAGCAGACCAGCGUCAGACCAGCAUUAAGUACAUCAAUAAGAACAGCCGGAAUAUGGUUUACUAAUUACUUAUAGUCUCUUUGAGUUUUGUUUUAAUUAUGAUUGCUAAGUGCAUUUAAUAUCACCGCAUAGAUAUAAUAACUUUAUUAAUUUUGCUAAUUCAUUCAGUUUGUUAACAUAAAUUUAGAACUUGUUAGUUAGCGUUCGAAUGGCCGACAGGGAAUGGGGACAUUCCCAAUAACAGGACGGCCGACUGUUAGCGUUUAAAUUUACCAAUGCUAUUCUUUACUAAUAUCAAGCUACUUAUUUCAUCAUAGGUCCGGCCGGAUUACUAGAUGUAGCUAGGAGUUGUUCUUUAGUUCAUUUAGUUUCUAUAUUGUCUGUGAUUCGCAUUGACUGGCCGGUCACGGGAUUCAUGCGGAUUCAUUCAAUUCAAGAUGGCAGAAAAAACAAGGAUAACUUUUAAAAAGACUUCUGUUUGUUAUUAGAUUCCUUUUUGAAUAGUUUGUGUUCCUUAUAAAAGUAUUUUACUUCAAA
This is a long non-coding RNA of Plutella xylostella (diamondback moth), 4515 nucleotides long. RefSeq lists it as uncharacterized. The record is from RefSeq and is a predicted model, not a curated record. NCBI's taxonomy places the organism in Eukaryota, Metazoa, Arthropoda, Insecta, Lepidoptera, Plutellidae.